UACGGGGGGAGCAAGCGUUGUUCGGAUUUACUGGGCGUAAAGGGCGCGUAGGCGGCCACCGCAAGUCGGUUGUGAAAUCUCCGGGCUUAACCCGGAAAGGUCAAUCGAUACUGCGGGGCUAGAGUGCAGAAGGGGCAACUGGAAUUCUCGGUGUAGCGGUGAAAUGCGUAGAUAUCGAGAGGAACACCUGCGGCGAAGGCGGGUUGCUGGGCCGACACUGACGCUGAGGCGCGAAAGCCAGGGGAGCGAACGGG
This 254-nucleotide ribosomal RNA is filed under the name uncultured bacterium. RNAcentral describes it as "partial 16S ribosomal RNA". It matches the Rfam family "Bacterial small subunit ribosomal RNA", at positions 524 to 776 of the family's 1533-position model. The record is from RNAcentral.